AUGCUUACUUCAGUAGCACAUAUACUAAUAUUGGAACACUAUAGAGAAGACUGGCAUGGCCCCUGAGCAAGGAUGACUUUCAAAUCUGUAAGUGUUCCAUAUAUUU
Panthera leo (lion) is the source of this 106-nucleotide small nuclear RNA. The record is from Ensembl. Lineage: Eukaryota; Metazoa; Chordata; Mammalia; Carnivora; Felidae.